AGUACUAACACACCAGAGGAAGGCUCUGGUUCAGAGCUGUGUUCUUCUAUGCGUAUUACCAGCAGGGAGCUGUUUUCUGUUGAGUGUUGAGGAACUGCAUGGAAAUGUCAGAGUGAGUCGCCACAUGGGAUCUCCUAGAGGAGAUCUGUAGCUCACAUUACAUGGAACAAGUCUCAUCUUUCAGAGGUACAGUAUGUUUAUAGAUAUUGUAAUGGACAACCUCUCAUUCAGCCUUCAACCCAGUUCCAGGCUUAGAUGGAGACCCUGAUGGAAGGAUUUUUCCAGGGCUGGAGUAUUUGCAAAUUGAUGAUUGCUUCAAAGAGGCCAUUUGGAAGGCUCAGCAGUGGCACUUCUGAGAGAUCUGUCCACCUGGGAAGAAUGUGCUGUUUCACAUACAUACAAAAAGCUCAGUUCCUUUUCCAGAGCUUCUCCCAACAACCUACCCCAGCCCUCCUCCAACCUACAUUCCUGCUAGAUGAAUCUGUUGUUUGUCCAGCCUGGGAAGUGAUAAUGGGAGAGAGAGCUUGGUCUUCCAACAUGCUGAAGAUAUUCACAACAUGGUACUUUGCAUCAACACAAAGCAGCAGGCACUCCAAAUAAUAUCACAACCUUUAAGCAAAACACCACAAUGUCCAACCUGGCCAGAAUCCAAUGGACUGUCUUCUCCCCAACCAUUCCAGGGGAUGCCAUUGUGACUGCAGGUUUGGCAUCAUUGUCUAAAUUUCAGCUGCAAAGUUCAGGUAUCGCCAAGGCUUUUAGGUUUCCAACUAAAUAUAGAGAAUACAGCCCAGCAAGAACAUUUCAUCUAUAUCUGAAAUUUUGUAUUACUGGAAAGUAUGACUCUGGGAUUUUUCUUUGUGCCUCUUUCUUCAAAAAAAAAAAAGGGAAGCUACUUCAGAGUGGAACUAUGGUUUCAGUAGCAUGAUUAUAGUAAAAUUUUUUAAAAAAGAAAGGCUUUGGAAUUUAAAAUAGUUUUCUUUUACCAGCACUAAAAAUGAUGGAAUUUCUUUUCCAAAUUUGUUUUACUUUAAAGAAUUAAAUCUUUCUUAAUUGGCUAAAUUGAUAAAGUGUACUUGAUCUUAACUAUCUUAAAAACAUAAAUUAUUUACAGAGAGUUUAGCCCCCUUAGUUGUAGCUGAAUAUAGGCAGACAGACUUUUUUGGAUAAAUAUGAUAUAUUAGUCAUCAACUUGGGAGACUUCCAUUCAAUUCCCAUCUCUGCCACAAGCUGUUUGUGUAACUCCUUCCAAAUCACAGAAUCUUUCUGUGCCCCUUUCCCUCCCAUCUGUAAAAUAGGUAUAAUAACAUUUCCUGUUUCUCAGAAAUAUAAUGAGAAUAAAUGCACUGAAAACUCAGAGGAUGUAGGUUGU
RNAcentral lists this long non-coding RNA (1369 nucleotides) under Crocodylus porosus (Australian saltwater crocodile). Its description in RNAcentral is "lncRNA (ENSCPRG00005002645.1)". The record is from RNAcentral. Lineage: Eukaryota; Metazoa; Chordata; Crocodylia; Crocodylidae.